GACAGCUGUUGAAAGGCAGUGUCUCUUCGGAGCAGGGAGACAGGUGGUGCAUGGUUGUCGUCAGCUCGUGUCGUGAGAUGUUGGGUUAAGUCCCGCAACGAGCGCAACCCUUAUCCUUAGUUACCAGCACGUAAAGGUGGGGACUCUAGGGAGACCGCCGGGGACGACUCGGAGGAAGGUGGGGACGACGUCAAAUCAUCAUGCCCCUUAUGUCUUGGGCUACACACGUGCUACAAUGGCCGCAACAGAGGGAAGCGAGAGCGCAAGCUGGAGCAAAACCCUAAAAAGCGGUCCCAGUUCGGAUUGUGGGCUGCAACCCGCCCACAUGAAGUCGGAGUUGCUAGUAAUCGCGAAUCAGCAUGUCGCGGUGAAUGCGUUCCCGGGCCUU
This 388-nucleotide ribosomal RNA is filed under the name uncultured Lachnospiraceae bacterium. RNAcentral describes it as "bacterial SSU rRNA". It matches the Rfam family "Bacterial small subunit ribosomal RNA", at positions 993 to 1382 of the family's 1533-position model. The record is from RNAcentral. Lineage: Bacteria; Bacillati; Bacillota; Clostridia; Lachnospirales; Lachnospiraceae.